UCCUUUUUCAUCCUCACAUUCCUCCUUUCCUUACUCUAUUCCUCCCCCUCUCCCUCUUUCGUCUCCUCCCCGCCCUCUUCAUCCUUUUUCUUCUAUCCUUCUUCCCCUAUUGUUCUUCUUUCUAUGAUCCUCCUAUUGGAUAGCAAGAUAUAAGUAGCACAACUAUAAAUCAUUUAGCUGCAAUAAAUCAAAUUUCAAAACAUAAGGGUUCAAGAUUGCAAUAAGUUUUUUUUCUUCUUUCUUCUAACAUUGCAGUAAGUUGGAUCAAUCCUUAUGUAAUUGGCGGGCUAAAUAUGAAUUUUGAAUUCUUGCAAAGAAACAUGAAAAUUCAGAAUUGAAAUUGGUGGGCUAACUAUGAAUUUUGAAUUCAUACAAAGGAACAUGAAAAUUCAGAAAAUAGGGGUUGCCAUUCUAUGACUUCCAUCCUAUCAAAAGGGGAGGAAGACUGAUAUGAAGUAUUUUGGUUUUAGUUAGUUAGAAAUAUCUUAUGAGCCCCAUUCUUCAUUUCUCUGGCUCCAUGUUCCCUGGAACAGCUAAAAAUGCUUAGCAACAUGUUCUUGAACAGGGUAGAAUGCUGCUAUAUCUUUAAGGUAUUCUAGACAUGUCAUUUUUUGACAGAUUGAUCUUCUUCUUCCAGCAGAAAUCUUUUCAAAGUUAAAAUUGCAAUUAAUUAAUCAACCCUGCCCUCCAUACAAUCUUUUCCUCAAUUAAAAAAUAUAAACAAAUAUUUGUUGACCCCAACAAUCAUCUGUAAACUUUGUUGACAGGAUAUUCUGAAACCAUUUGAAAGCAGAAAAUUAAAUAGUUGAUUUCUGGGAAGAAAAAAGAUUCCAACAAGUUUCAUCAUGAGGAUUAAGAUUUCCCUCUCAUGCCUGAGUUCAAGAUGGAUCUGAUGCCUGAGGUUUGUAGUUCCGUUCCACAUCUUGUUAGUGCGUCUGAAACUGUGUGAUCACAGAUGUUGCUCUAAUAGAUUUCAUGCGAGGAGCAUAAAUAAUUGAGAGCAUGGGUGGUUUACUAAAUUAAUAAUUAUAACAUGAAUCGAAUCAAGGCAUAUACUGUAGAACACUUGCAACGUCCUCAUUGCAAUAAUCUAAACUAUGCAAUGUAAUUGUAGCUUUGUCAGCUCACUAUCAUCAUUUUGGACAUGAAAAAUCCUUCUCAUAAUCUUUCCCCAUCAUUAUAAAAUGAAUAUUCUGAUUUUUUUAAUAGAUAUGUUAGCAGCCAUCAGCGCAUAUCCCAUAUCUAACUUCAGCAUUGGAGAAUUUCAUCAGGCACAUCCAAGCAUCUUUUUAUUCUUACAAAUUUUUCAUAGUUCGAUUUGACUUAUUCUUACGAACUAUCCUCUCGGAAUCUAUUAUCGACUAUCAUACUGUUUACCUAGAUAGGUUUUAGGUUAGAAGGAUCCACUCCGUACUUUCAGAAAUUAUGAUGUGCAUUGUACCAAACAAACCUAAUUAUGUUAGUUCUAAUACCCUUAAAGAACAAAUAGGCGCAUGCGCAAAAACAUGCUACGCUAUCUUCCAUGAGAUAAUUGCAGCUGGAGAGCGUAAGAGUGACCGGCUCUCUAAUCUGCAUAUUGACACUUCUUCACCGAGAUAGAAACAAGAAUAAUCUCACAUGACUAAAAUAUCAGAACAUAUAAGCCUGCAAUUUGAUGUAUGGUCGUACAAGUUCCAUCCAAACUGGAUUACUUCAAUAAAAAUUCUAAAAUGGACUUCUCAAUAUUGUAAUUUUUUUUAAAAUUUCUAUGAAUGUAUUCACCCGAGCUCUACCUAAAAGCAUGUUAUCUAUGUUGGGAUCGACAAAUAUUUUUUUUAGAUUUUUUAUUAAAAAUAAAUUACUCAGAAGAUCAAAUUUAGAAAGACAAGGGUAAAUUAUUCAGCUUGAAGAAAUAUAAACUCUUAAAAAUUUCUUGGAUAUAUUCAUUCUCACAUAAAGAAAAUUUUGAGUCUUUCUUAUAUAAACGCAGGCAAAAGAUAUUUUUUAAUUUUGACUCUAUCUGUAUAUAUUUCUUUUGAAUUUCAUAUGUCACAGAUAUGAAUCGCAAACAGACUUAAUCCUCGAUAGGACAUUAUACUAAUGCUUGCGAUAUAUCUAUGUGAAGACAUUACAUCCAUCUCAAUCUUUAUACUUCUUUAAUGGAGAAUAACACACAAGUUGUGGGGAGUAAAAGAGGAGACCUCAAGACCAAAAAAAAAAAAUCAUAGAUCAAUAAGUGAAAUAUAAAUCAAAAAGUUCAUAAAAAAUCAACAAGGGUCGAUAUUGUAUUGUUUACAUUCAUAGAUAAAAUUAAAUUUUUCAUCAAGUAAAAUCAAUUACAUGCACAAUUGAGUUAAUCUCAAGUACAAACUAUCUUCUAAUAUAAAUCCAAAAUAAUUUCUCAUAUAUGGGCACCUAAACUAUUUCCUCAUUUCUUAUUUGUCCAUCAAGAUCUGAAGAUACAUAAGAUAUUUAUAAUAAUAAAUCCUAACUAAGUAAGAACUCUUUUUUUUAAUUGGAUCCCUAAUCAUAUACCAUUUCAUAAUCUAACAAAUGCUUUGGAUUUCAAAAAUAUUUGCCACCCUCAAAGACAAGUGAUAAAGAAAAUUUGUGUCCAACUAAUUAGCAUCAAAAUCUUCCUCCUAUCUACAAAUCUAAAUUCAAUAAAUGUUACUCAGUCAAUCCGUGCUCGAGUAGAUCAAGAGGAUGGGAACGAUGAAACCACAAACAUAGUGGAACAAGUACUUUGAGGCAUACAUCAUUCAAAUGAAUCAAUUAAGAUAUAUAUAUAUAUAUAUAUAUACACGCGCGCAAAACGAGAGGUCACAGCAUAUUUACAAGUAAGAGGAUGCGAUUUUUCGCACGUCGGAAGGCAUGAAAGCCAAGACGAGAAGCACACCGAGAAGGCCGAGAGGAAGCAGCAGCAACAGGGAAGGUGGCGGAGGCAGUGGAGGCAGCACCAGUGGAAGUAUCAACAGCGAUGCUGUGAGGAAGAGAAGCAGUAGAAACGACGCCAUGCUGAAGUAGGCCGACAGUGGAGCACUGAGAUCCGACUCAUGCGGUGGACUUCUCCUGUAGUAGAUGUCUGAACCACCUUCCCAUGUCUUCCUCCCUAUUCUUCUUUCCAUGAAACCACUACAAUGAGCUCCUAUAGGGAUCGGUAGCUCCAAAUACAUUCAAAAGUCGGGUGAUAAUUAACAGCUACUUGAGGCAGGAACACAAGGAAGCAAGUUGGACGAGAUUGGAGAGGAAGAGAAACAGAGUUAUGAUGCAAAGAAACAGAUGCAGGCUGAUCAUGGUGGCUGCAGGUUCUGCCAUUUAUUUGGAUUGGGUGAGGAGGAUGGAAGUGUACGAACGUUUCUGUAUGGGUACAGAUGCACUGCACCCCAUAUUCUCAACGUGGAAAUCCUAUUGCAAGGUGGGUGGCGACCGGUGCACAAAUCGUGUUUUAUUUCUUCUUCUUCGUAGGAAGCAGUGGCAGAUCGAGCUGUCCUAGUAUUCCAAGGUUCCUCUCCCGUGCCCAUCGUCCAUGUCUCUCUCCAUCUGCUGUCGCUUUUUUGGUCUUAUCAGCAGCAGUCGAAAGCUUUCCC
Molecule: long non-coding RNA, 3569 nt
Filed under: Musa acuminata (dwarf banana)
Lineage: Eukaryota; Viridiplantae; Streptophyta; Magnoliopsida; Zingiberales; Musaceae
Description: long non-coding RNA (MACU_LNC009653)
Source: RNAcentral